RNAcentral lists this ribosomal RNA (165 nucleotides) under Triticum aestivum (bread wheat). Its description in RNAcentral is "partial small subunit ribosomal RNA". The record is from RNAcentral. Lineage: Eukaryota; Viridiplantae; Streptophyta; Magnoliopsida; Poales; Poaceae.
AUGGGCUCGGGAAAGGGGUCCCCCGAAUAUUGGGUAUCCGUUGUUAAACCUGGUCGUAUACUUUAUCAAAUGGGGGGAGUAUCUGAAACUGUAGCUAGAGCAGCUAUCUCCAUAGCUGUCAAUAAAAUGCCCAUACGAAGUCAAUUUAUUCGAUUAGAGAUAUAG